This 468-nucleotide ribosomal RNA is filed under the name uncultured bacterium. Its description in RNAcentral is "partial 16S ribosomal RNA". It matches the Rfam family "Bacterial small subunit ribosomal RNA", at positions 28 to 507 of the family's 1533-position model. The record is from RNAcentral.
GAUGGACGCUGGCGGCGUGCUUAACACAUGCAAGUCGAACGGUGAAGGCGGAGCUUGCUCUGCUGGAUCAGUGGCGAACGGGUGAGUAACACGUGAGCAAUCUGCCCCUGACUCUGGGAUAAGCGCUGGAAACGGCGUCUAAUACUGGAUACGAGCUGCGAAGGCAUCUUCAGCAGCUGGAAAGAACUUCGGUCAGGGAUGAGCUGGCGGCCUAUCAGCUUGUUGGUGAGGUAACGGCUCACCAAGGCGUCGACGGGUAGCCGGCCUGAGAGGGUGACCGGCCACACUGGGACUGAGACACGGCCCAGACUCCUACGGGAGGCAGCAGUGGGGAAUAUUGCACAAUGGGCGAAAGCCUGAUGCAGCAACGCCGCGUGCGGGACGACGGCCUUCGGGUUGUAAACCUCUUUUAGCAGGGAAGAAGCGAAAGUGACGGUACCUGCAGAAAAAGCGCCGGCUAACUACGUG